This is a long non-coding RNA of Lepus europaeus (European hare), 487 nucleotides long. RefSeq lists it as uncharacterized. The transcript is spliced from 3 exons. The record is from RefSeq and is a predicted model, not a curated record. Lineage: Eukaryota; Metazoa; Chordata; Mammalia; Lagomorpha; Leporidae.
UGCAUUCACAGGAAGCUGGAUCAGAAGCAGAGCAGCCGGGACUCAAACCUGCACGUCUGAUACGGGAUGCGGGCGUCCCACGUGCUGGCUUCCCUACACCAGCCUCUGAAUUCCCGUGUUCAUGUGCGGAAACUGAAGCCCAGGUGCAGAGCCCGGAGCCUGAUGUGAAUCCUGAGUGGCUGAAACCAAGGCCACAGCUGCCUGUGUCCUGAUUCUGACGAAGCCAAGACCUCUCCGCGAUCAAGAGUUGUGGGGAUCUCUGCCACGGCGCGGGGCUCAGCGUCGCUGCUCGGGAGGCUCCCAUCCCACAGUGGGGCACCUGGUUCGAGUCUUGGCUACUCCACCUCCCACCCAGCUUCCCACUGGAGCACACACACCCUGGGAGGCUGCAGGCGAUGGCUCAAGUGCCUGGGCCCUGGCACCCAUGUGGGAGACCAGGAUGGAGUUCCCAGCUUCACCUGGCCCAGGCAUUUGGGGAGUGAACCAA